UAAUAAGUCUUAAAACGAGGUAGUGUGUGUCCUCCAAGUUUGCUCUUUUUCAAAGUUGUUUUGGCUAUUCCAGAUCCUUUUGCAUUUACAUAUAAAUAAUUGAAAUCAGAUUGACAAUUUCCACACACAUACAAAAAAGCCUGAUGGAUAUAAUUAGGAUUGCAUUGAAUCUACAGACCGAUUUGAGGAUAAUUAGCAAUAAUACAGAGUCUGCUGGUUCAUGAACAUGAGAUAUUUCUCUUUUUAUUUACAUCUUCAUUUCUCUCAGCAAUGUUUUGUAAAUUUUCAAUGUUUGGGUCUUGAAUUUUUUGACAAAUUUAUUCAUAAUAUUUCAUAUUUUGAUGAAUUGUAUAGUCUUACUUUUUUAAAUAUAAAAAUUUAAGUCUUUGUUCCUAGUAUACACACAAUUUCUGUAUUUCUAGUAUAUAGAAAUACAAUUGAUUUUUGUGUAUUGACCUUGUGUCUUUGUUAAACUCCCUAUUAUUUCUAGUAAUUUUUUGUAGGAGCUAUAAGAUUUUCUACAUAGAUGAUCACAUCUUCUGUGACUAAAGAAGUUUUCCUUCUUCCUUUCUAAUCUGUAAGCAUGUAAUUUCUUUUUCUUGCCUUAUUGCACUGGCUAGAGCCUUCAGUAUAAUGUUGAAUAGUAAUGAUAGAGAGAAUAUCCAUGCCUUAUUCUUAAUUGUAGGAGGAAAGCAUUCAAUCUUUCACCAUUAAUGAUUAAUAAUGACACUAGCUGAAUAAUUUUUGUAGAUGCCUUUUAUCAGGUUGAGAAAAUUUCCUCCCAUCCUUAGUUUGCUGAGAACAAUUUUUGUUAUAAAUGGAGACCAGAUUGUAUAAAAAAUAUUUUUCAUUUAUUAAGAUGAUCAUAUAUUUUUCUUUUUUUAGUCUAUUAAUAUGCUGAAUUACACUGAUUGGUUUUUAAAUAUUAAACCAACCUUACACUCCUUACACUCCAAGUGGAUAAACUCCACUUGGCCAUGAUGUAUCAACCUUUCAAUAUAUUGUUGGAUUCCACUGGAUAACAUUUGGUUAAGAAUUUUGUAUCUAUGACUAUUGUGACAAACCAUUCCCUAUCUUGUGUGAGUCCAGGCGUCACUCCCGCGCUCCUUUCUGGUGGCUUUUCUGCAGCCUUAGGUAAUCUCCUCUCACACAGGCAUUGAUCAGUGCUCAGCUGAAGGCACAAGGGAGGCCAUCUGCAAAUUGCCGGAACUUUCUCUGUGGGCAGCUUUCCCUUCUUGGAUCCUCUGCCCUCUGAAAGCUAGCGCCAUGGCUCCCUGGACUUUCACUCUGUUUCUUCAACUCAGGGAGGGUAGGCUCCACCUUGGUGCCCUCCUGCCCUGCAGCCUCUCCCCAGGCUGGCAGCUGGGCAAUCCAACAUGCUCGCCUUUGAGUCUCCUCCCUCGGGGGCCACUGUCUGAGCUGCCUGGUCCUCAAUGUCUGAAAUUCAUUGUUUCCUGUAUUUUGUCUGGCUUGUUGUUUCAUCUGGGAAGGUUAAUCUGGCCCCUGCUAUUCCAUCUUGGGAAGGAGAUUACGUUUGUUUUUAGAUAGUUGUGAUCAUCUGGCCAUCUAAUUUUAUAUCCUGCUCUUCUCACUCAACAUUUUCAAAUAAGCAUUUUUAUGCUUUUUAUGCUUUUAAACUUUUCAUAGAUGUCACUUAGAGGAAUGUGAAAUGCUCUGUCAAGGCUGGGGCCAAGUGUCAUCGAUCUUGCUCCAUGUCAGGAUAGUCCCCCUUCCAGCCAAGUCAAAGGAGGUCGGCCCUCCCCACGCAGGGGCUCUGUCCUCCCUCUCACGCUCUUCCUGUCACUCUCAGACUUCCUCAGCAGAAGACGUUUUGUACCACGCACUUCAAUGAGGUGGUGAUUAAGGACUGCAGAAGAAGCGUUUUUCAAUUUAAACCUAUUUUUUUCUUGAAUGGAGCAGGUGUCUCAAAGUCACAGUUACAGGAAUGAAAGAAUCACAUUAUUCACAAUUUGCCUGUAAUUAAACUCCUCCACUUUCUGAAUGAGGGCCUGUGCCCAAAAUCGUAAUAACUACAGCUCCCACUUGAGGAGCCCUUACUGUCUUUGUAUCAGGCACCAUCUUGAGCACUGGAGCCAGACUGUGGUUUGCUCCAGAUACUGGUGAACCUCAACAAGGCCUCUCUCUUGAGCCCAGAGCAAGCCAAGUCCUGUUGUUAGCUGCACUCCUGCUCCAACUGAGCUUCCUUUCCUCCAGCUCUGGGAGAGAUCUGGAGGAGGCUUGGCGUUAAAUGCUUAAUCCUCGCAAAAACCCUGUGAGGGACAGAUAGGGAAAUUAGGGCUCAGAGAGGUGAAUUAACUUGAUCAAGGGCACACAGCAAGUUGGUGGUGCUGCUGGGAUUCUAAUCUGGACAGUCUGACUAUGCUGGAACCAUUUCUUCUAACCACUGGGAUUUGCUUGGCUAAUAGAAGCCCAUUCACCCUUCUCUCUGCAAGAAGCCCAAGGGAGCCGGGUGGCUGAGAUAGCCUACAGGUGCCAAGCCCCAAGGAACACUUCAGUCCUGGGACUGACCACGGAGUGUCUGAGCAUACUGAAAGCCAAGAGUGACACAGAGGCCACGCUUCCGUCCUGGAGGGAGUGGAGUAGGCCCUCUGCCCAGCACAGGUCUCUCCUGCCCUCAGGCCCACACCCCUGCCCCCAAGUCCCAGUGCCCUUUUCCUGCCCCGACCUCUGAAAGAACCACAAAUUCUUUAGUGAGAUCAGUCACUGUCCUGCCCACCAACAUUGCCAGCAUGUUGCAUUACAGUAUUCUCUUCUGGAAUUCUCUGGUUAUCAUUCUUCUAACUUUACCAAUAAGGAAACCAAGACCGGGGAGCGGGGGGUAAUUCAUCCAAAGAAAGUGAUGGAGACAGGAUUUGAACUGAGGUCUGCUAAGGAUUCUGUUAUACUCAGCUGGUGGCAAAGUUAUUUUAAUUGACUGCAAGUCCUCUUGUCUCUUAUCUCAUUUGUGAAUCUACAAGUACUAACUGAGCAAGUGGAAAACAGAAGGUGCUGUGUCCCUCCUGGGGGUUGUGAAGGAUCAAGCAGAUAACGGAUAUUGCAUUCUUAAUCCAAGGCAGCCCUGACCACACAAAUUGAUUCUGAAGCUUCCUCUAAACCAUGCUGUGGAUUAAUUACGGUGUGGACCAGUUAGGGUCCUUGGUUAAGGGCCACAAAAGCAGACGUAACCAACUUAAGCAGGGAAAGUGCUUCCAGUUGAAAGGAUAUUGGUUUGAGCCAAGGGUGGCCAGGCCACUGAGGACUCAGCCACCACUGUACCUUUGAACCAGCCACUUAUGGUGGCCCUGCCUGGCAGCCCCGCACCAUGGCAGCAAGUCACACAGAAGACUCGGCUCCCUCUGCGAGACUGCCAUUGUCACCAUCACAAAUAACGGCAACAAGUGAUCUUUGCAGAACCCUCAUGGGGCCCAGGCAUGUGCUAAAGGCUUCUUCUGUUUUAACUCAUUUUAUAGAUGAGGGAACUGAGGCAUAAAAGGCAAAACAAGUUGGCCAAGAUUCCAGCCGGUAAGUGGGAAAGCCAGGAUUCCACCCGCUGGCUCAUUCUGGAGCCCAUGUUCUUAACCUCCACGGUUUACUUUCUUGCCAUCACCUCAUAUGGUCCUUUCUUCCGGAGCCAAGGUCCCAGCAUGGUUCCCAGCUGAACCCAUGUCCCAGAUUUCAGGGAGAAGAGGGGAGACCACUUGUUCUGUUUUGUGUUUUUGUUUUUGAGACAGAGUCUCGUACUGUCACCCAGGCUGGAGUGCAGUGGCACGAUCUUGGCUCACUGCAACCUCCACCUCCCAGGUUCAAGCAUUUCUCAUGCCUCAGCCUCCCGAGUAGCUAGGAUUACAGGCAUGCACCACCAAGCCCAGCUAAUUUUUGUAUUUUGUGUACAGAUGGGGUUUCACCAUGUUGGCCAGGUUGGUCUCGAACUCCUGGCCUCAAGUGAUCCGCCUGCCUUGACCUCCCAAAGUGCUGGAAUUACAGGUGUGAGCCACUGCACCCGGCCAAAAGGAGAGCACCUGUUCUGCCUCAAUUUCUACAGUGGGAGGUAUGGCCCUGCAUCUCAACUCUUUUGAAAUGCCUCCGCAGAUGGAAGGGGACUCAGAUAUUGGGCACUCAAUAGCCUCAAGUGCCCCCACAGGACUGAAGUGACCCCUAAUCAGGACCAUUUGCCAGGUCCAGCCCUCAAAACCUUAGGCUCCCAGUGGGGAAUCUCAGAUACACAGUCUUUGGGGUCCUUAGCAAAUAGGGUCAUUCAUGGGCUCCAGGGUAGAAGAGCUAACUUGUGGCAUGGGCUGGUGAUCCUUCAUGGGAAAAGCUGGGCUGGGGUCCCCCAAAUGCCUGGAGGUCAUGUGCAUACAGCCUGGGAAGCCACAUUUCCCAAGAGGGUGUCGGCAGCCCUUGACCCCAGAGCUGGCAUCUCUCACCCCAUUUUCCCAAGAGACACAGCAGCUGCUUCCCCAUCUCUGGAGGUGCAUCUCAAGGAGAGCGAGCCGCUAUCUUUGUUUGGCAUUUUUCGAUGUCAGCAGUAGAGAAGCAAAAUCAGCCCAAAGGGCUGUUUAAUUGCAAUAUAAAAAAUCAUGCUUUUUCAAGGGAAAAAAGGAGAGUUCUCCACCCCAUCGGUUUCCAGUGCAAUACCGUAUCUGCUGAUUCUGCCUCAUUCAAAUCCAAACAAGUACAUUCAUCAUCCCAAAAAGUGCCAUUCAAGCGGCUGCUCUCCGCAGGGCCAUAUUUUGCCUCAAAUGUUCCCUAGCUCAAUUAAGCCUGGUGCAAGCUACUGAACUCCUAGAGGAGUGGGUGCCAAGGGGGAGAGGCUCCAACAGUGCCUUGGAAAAUGCUUUCUUGCUCCUCUCGUUCUCCCACGGUGGAAGAAUCAUCAGCAGGAGCCCUGGAUGAAGUCAGGAGUCCCAUCCCAGAAGAAUGCCAGCUGUGACCCGGGCAUGCCCCUUCCCCUCUUGAGGCCUCAGUUCCCUAUCUGUAAAGGCAGAAGCUUGGGCUGGAUCAGGGAUGGCAAGUAGGUGAAACGUGCACCCCCGUUCUCGCUUCCUUGCUCAUGCCAACAUCCCUAAUUACUCAGGGCUUUAUUUACUGAGCCCAGAUCCGAUCGCAGAAUCCUUCUCAACACAGCACUCCAGGCCACCAGCACUUGAGAUGAAGUGUGCUACCAUCCUGGGCUCCAUGUGUCUCCUGGGUUCUUUCGAAGUCACACGCUUGAACCUUGGCAGCAGUGAUAACAGCCAACAGACCCUCACUGUGUGCAUCCUGUGGGCCAGACAGCAUUCUGUGUGCUUUGCCUAAGUGAGUAUUUAACACACCCAGCAACCUCAUUACUAAUGUCUGCACUUUAUGGAUGAGGCCGAGGUUACACAGAUGGUUAGUAGAGGAGUUGGGAUUCAGAUUCAGGCCGUCUGGCUCCAGAUUUGGAGCUCUUAACCCCUCACUAGGGUGGACACAAGUCAAUCAACACAAAAACCAGCCUCUGGGCAGCAUCAGGGGCUACACCUGGGUCAUCUUUAUGUCCCCAUCACUCUGUACUCAGGCAACGUUUGUUGAAUAGCAAAUGAAUAAAUGAAUGAGAUGAAAAUUAGACACUGGGAACAGCACAAUCAUAAUGAUAUUAAUAACUAAUGGCUGCUGUUCAUUGAGUGCAAACUCUGUGCCAGAUGUGACACUGUCUCACUUGGGAGGAGCUCAAUAAAUAUUCGUUGAAAAUGACGAUCCUAAUACUUUCCCUUGGUGUCCCUCCCCAACUCCCACCCCACCUCUGCUCCUGUCUCCUGGCCAAGGACCAACAACCAGGAAGGAAACAGUCCAACCACGCUCAGCAGAGGCUUGUCAAUUUUUUUAACUGUGACACACAGAAAGGAAUUUGUUUUAUACACACACCUUGAAACAACAGUCCCACAAAACAAUAUUUACCCUUCCUAAUUGCAAAGUAUUGUGAUCAAUUUCUAGUCUAUCAUAUCAAAAGAAAACCCUAGUGGUGAUGCACUAAGUCGAUUUCUGGGUUCAGUAGUGGGUUAUGUGAUUUGAAAAACAUCACGCGAAGGUCAGGCACUAAUAAGAGUUGGUAUCGAGUGCUUACUACCAACUGUGCAGUUAGUCAUCCAUUUGACUCAUACAAUGGCCCGGUAGUUAGGUCAUUACUAUCCCUAUUUUUCAGAUGAGGGAAUUGAGACCAGAGAGCUUGAGUUACUUAGUGGUCCAUUCUCAAUCUAUCAGUCAACUAUUGCAGCAGAACAAACAACUUCAAAAUCUCAGUGGUGCAAAUCAAUAAACAUUUUUUUCUCACUCCCAAAUUUGUGGGUUGGCUGGAGUAGCUCUGCAUUCCAUGUCUCUCAUCCUCAUCCUGAGACCAGCAGGCCAUCCAGGACAUCUUCUUUCCCCAGCAACAGCAGAGACACAGAACAAGCCUCACAGCAAAGCACAUUUCAAGCCCUGCUGCAUCACACUUGCCACCCCCAAGUCCCAGGGAUGCACUGUUGCACUUUUAAUUAAGCAAUUUGGGCUCUUCAGAAGAAGAGAAAAGACACAGAUCUACGCGUAACAGCACAGCAGCACUACAUAUUUCAUUCUGACUGCUUUUGGAGUACGGAGUCAAAUGAAAACAGCAUUUAAAAGUCAUCCAUUCGCUUGAGUCCAGGAGUUUGAGACCAACCUGGGCAACAUAGUGAGACCUUGUCUCUACAAAAAAAGUAGCUGGAUGUGGUGGGGCAUGCCUGUAGUCCCAGCUACUCAGGAGGCUGAGGUGGAAGGGUCACUCGAGCCUGGAAGGUCCAGGCUGCAGUGAGCCAAAAUCGUGCCAUGACACUCCAGCCCGCGUGACAGAGCAAGACUUUGUCUCUAAACAAACAAACAAACAAAAAAUGUCAUCCAUUUACAUACUCUAUGGUAAGACUUACAGUUCUUUGUUUCUGUGCUUCCAGUGAACUUAUUCCUUUAAGAAGGAGGGAAGGGAAGAAGUAGAAGAGGGAAGGAAGGAAGGAAGGAAGGGAGGGAGGGAGGAAGGGCGAGAGGGAGGGAGGGAGGAAGGAAGGAAAGAAGGAAGGAAGGAAGGAAGGAAGGGGCUGGGGGAGGGAGAGAAAAUCCACAGGGUAGAUAUGUGGGUGAAUGGCCUCCCAUCUCUGAGCUGAAUUUCUUCACCUUUAAAAUGAUGAUACAGAUGAAUACAUUCUUAACAUGCCGUUGAAUGACAAAAUUAGGUUACAGCCCAGCACAUAAAGGAGUGCCUCAUUUUUGCAGCUUUGUAUUUGUAUAAUAUAUAUGCACGUGCAUACAUGUUUAGGUGCAUAGAGAAGUCUCUGAAAAAGGUUCACCCAAGUCUUACCAGUGAUUCCCUCACAGUGGUGGGAUCUGGAGUGAUUUUUGUUUGCUCUGUGUAAUUGCGCUGUUCUGCGUGAAUGUUUUUAUCAGGAAAAUUCAUUACGUAGAUCAUCAGAGAAAGCAACAAGGACAGUCAUAGUUUGCUAAACAAAACCAAUAUCACCAGUGCUGGUGCCCUGUUCCCUGUGCCUUCUGCUGGAGGCAGCCCCCACCCGCAGCCAGCCCUCUUUUGAAGCCUAGGCAAGCUUAUCUCCUGGACAGGGUUCAGGCCCCCACACACUCCCUCCACAUUCCAGCCUCAUGUCCUUGUUCCUCCUGUUCAGCACCCUGACAUCUUAUCUUUCACAUUCCAUUUGCCUCCCCAUUCCCCAGACGUUUAACAGCAUGGGGUCAAUCUCCACCACCACCCUGUGAGGCUGCAAUGCAUUCAUCCAUCCUUCCACCCAUCCAUUCGUUCAUGCAUUUUUCCAUAUAGUCACCCAUCUAUCCAUCCAUUCAUCAACAUUCACUAGAGCUCACUCUGUGCGUAUGUCUGUGCUGGCUGCCAGGGACCCAGAGAUAAAUCAGAUGCCAGCCUUCAGAGUACCCCAGGCUAGCAUGCGCACGUACUGGCUUACAGUGGCAUGGACAAAAUGCUGCAGGAGCACAGAGGAAGACCUUGAUUCUCCUGGUCUAACCCCCAGGUUUACAAAUAGGGAAUAUCAAUUAUCACCUCCAUUAUACAGACAGGGCACAACAGAGGCCACGAUGUCAGAGCUAAAAGGCCCUUGGGGGACUCUAUUAGGGACAGCAAGCACAUGGUGUGUGUAGCAUCACUCCCUGCAUCUCAAGACCAUGGCAGACAUUACUAAUCAAACAAGCAUCUUUCUCAUGAAGCCGAGGCUCCUCUGAAUCAAUGUCAGUUCUCUGUUCCAGGCAGCCGUACCCGGCAACUGGAGUUGGCAUUUGCAUCAUCAAGUCCAGUCUUGGAUGGGGGAGUGGAGACUGACAGGCUCAGAGGCACUGAAGGUCACUGUGAGUUAAUCUCCUGAGUUGUUCUCAGAGGGAUCUGACCACAGAAGGGUCAUGCCAGAAUUUACUGUGUGCAGCUCCAACCUGCCUCCCUGCACCUUCAACAGAAGAACUUUUGCUGUCUCUGCCUUCUGCGCCCUAAUGGCAAGGGAGGAGGCAUGAUCCUCAGCUGAAGAAAUCCAAGAGGCAUUGUGGCAGGUGGCUUUUUGGCGGACCCCAUAAAUUACCAAGUGGAUUAGGAAGGAUACAUAAGCCGGAAGACGCCAGGCCCACACACAGUAACAGGCCCGGCCUGGACGUAUUUCAUUUCUGAUCACACUGGACCGAGCAAGAAUUAUGGACAAAGUCCAUAAACCUAAGCACUGUGCCUGAUAAUUUACACUGCCCACUGUCAUUUUUAAUGCAUGGUGUCUGCUUCUCUCCAACCUGGGAACACUAAAUCUGGCCACUUGAAGAACCACUUCACGCUACAAUAUGCCAGGAGUCUUUUUCCAGAUUUGGUUCUCAUGGAUCAUCUGCACCCACCAGGAGCCCUGAGUCCCCACCCGUAACCCUGCAGGGGGACUCAACAAGUGGUUGAAUCUGGCAGAGCAGGCACUGGACACGUGGCCUGUAUGUUACGCAUCAAAUCUACAAGCACAAGUGCCCAGAUCCAUACCCCUUCCCUCUAAAGCCCCAUCACAUUUUAGGCAUUAGAAGGAGUUGAGAGACUUUGGAGUCACAUGGACUUGGAUUCAAGUCCUAAUCCUGCCACUUAUGAAUGGCAGGACUUUGCAUGAGGCAUUUAAACUCUCUCAGCCUCAGGGCCCUCAUUUGUAAAUGGGCUACCAGCUCUGCUUCAUGGGAUCGUUGUGGGAGCCCGUGCUGAGAAUAUAUAUGCGACCCGUAACACAGCUCAUGGCAUCCAGUGGCCCUUAAACACAGCAGUUAUUAUCAUGGGUAGUGUCCAGACACAGGAUGAUAGACUUGCCUUCUGUGGCCUCAAUAAGCCAUCCUCAGGCCAAGGUCCAUAGAGUCCCCUGCUGAACACAGAGGAUAGACUCUGUAUGUGGUGGGUGGGUGGAUGGAUGGGUGGAAUGAAUAGGUGGAAGGAUGUUUGAAUAGAUCCUAUUUAUGGCACAGAAAACAUCAAGGCAGGGAUUUGAGAGGGCUCAAAUUUGGUCUCCCUGAUGUCAGCCUCAAAGGUAACAUUUCCUGCUCCCCUCAGUAACCCAUUGCUCAUCCACACUAGAGAAGCUAAGAAUUUCCUUAAAUCCUUCCCAAACCUAUUUAGACCCUCAGCAGGCCUACCUAAAUCCUGCCUGCCUCCUGCCUUGUUCUGCCACAUCCAGUCUGAAACCCUUAACUUGGCACUCAAGGUCACUAGGACCAGGCCCACCCUCGUAUCCCCUGAGCUGCACACAGCACGGUGUACUGUUAGGGACAGAGAUGGCCCUGAGGAGUGUUGGAAGCAGGGCUCUGGACUCGGCCACUAGAGCCGAGGCACCUGGGGAAGGAUGCCCUGACUGCAAGGGGUGCUGGGGACUGGGGACUGAGUGCUGGGUCCUUCCAGGCUGUAGAGCUGCUCAGGGUCUCAGGGUCUAGGCUAGCCCAGCCCGUGGGCAGCAUUCCUUCCCAGCAGUUUUUUUUUUUUUUUUUUUUUUUUUUGAGACAAAGUCUCACUCUGUCGCCCAGGCUGGAGUGCAGUGGCAUGAUCUUGGCUCACUGCAAACUCUGCCUCCCACUUCAAGGAAUUCUUCCACUUCAGCCUCCCUGGUAGCUGGGAUUACAGGCACGCACCACCACAUCUGGCUAAUUUUUGUAUUUUUAGUAGAGAUAGAGGUUUCACCAUGUUGGCCAGGUUGGUCUCGAACUGCUGACCUCAGGUGAUCCACCUGCCUCGGCUUCUCAAAGUGCUGGGAAUGCAGGCAUGAGCCACCGCGCCUGGCCCUCCCCAGCUUUAAUGGAAGGCUGCACCUUGUCCCACCGUCUGAGCCAGAUGCCCAGGGCAGCUCAGGGCAGGGCCUUCUGCGUAUCUCCUGUGGUCACUUGACACACAGUGAAUUGCUUUUCAAGAACUCAGGCAGGAAGCAGUCCAAGGGGAGCCACUGCCUCAUGACGAGUGACAUUCGUAAGGUUCGAUCUUCAUUCUGCACAGGCGGGACUUGGCCUGUCUGGCGUAGGGAACUGGAGGCAGUGGCACACUCUGGGCCACCACAGCACUGUGGUACUGGGCAGGGCGCCGAGCUCCCCGGCCCUGCCAGGCCUCCUGAAUGAGGCCAGGUGGGGCUUCACUGGGGAGAGGUGUCAACAGGGAUACAGGUGCUAAGGUGCCCUGGAGGAACCAAGUGCCAGCUGCCCGCUGCUAUUCUGACACUUAGUUUCUUCCUUUCUAAAUGAGUGCAGUGGCCACUCCCACUUUACUGUAUUAUUCUGAGGAUUAAACAGACAAAAGGCAUAACAAUAAUAAUGGCUUGUAUUGGUCCAGCACUCCACAGUUAACAGAGCCCUUUUCCUUGCCAGGAACACAAUUCAGUGAGUACUUCCGGCUCUCCUGUCAACUGCUACCUAAAUUUCCACCUGAGAUUUACCUGCCUUCAUCCUCCGCCUGGAUUGCUCCCUCUCGCCCCUUCCCGGAGGGGCAGUGCUUUGUGCCCCAAGGGGAGGCAGCAGCCAGGGCGCUUUCCUGCCGCUCUCCUUCCCAUCCUUGCUUGAAGGCAGGUUUAGUGAGGAGCUGAGGAGCGGGGAGGUGCUGGGGGAGGGGGACCGGGGAUGCCACAGAGGAAGCCGGCUUUCCCGCCCGGACAAGAUAGGAGAAAGGGAGAUGUCACACCCCAAAGUGUCUUGUGAUACUCCCCACAACCACCCCUAGGUAGAUACAGAUCAAUACCCUCAUUUCCAGCAGCGGAGGGGUGGGGUGCUGAGACUCAGAGAGGGCAAGAAGCAUAUCCCAGCCACAAGGCUAGGAGGUGGCAAAGCGGUGUCCAAAUCCAUUCUGUCUGGGUCUUGGCUAUGUGGCUAGAUGGGUGAGUGGGGAGUGGUUGGGUGGGGGACGGUGAAUGGAUAAGAUUUGGAGGGUUCAGGUUAAGCCAUAAGUUAAUAACAAAACAAAAGAUUGAAUCAGGCUUCGUCCCUGAAGUCCAGGGCUGCUCCCGGCCCUCUCCAUUCUGGGCUCCACGUAGCCUCUGAUCAAGGGCAGGGGAGGGUUUUACCUGGGCAGAGUCUCCGGAAAGCCCAGGGUGGAGUAUGGGCAGAAUAACAGUAUAGGAGGUUGACUUCCUUCACCCCUGUCCAUGGAAGGGCUCCCCCUCCUCCUGUCCUCACCCUGCUCUCCGUGUCCCUGGAGGUGUGAGGGCACAGCUGGGGCGCCAUCUGGCAGCAAAGCUGUAGUGGGAAGUCCUGCCCGGGUGGAAUCUGUAUUAGCAGGCUCCGAGCCUCUGGAAUAGUCACAGCACUACUUCUGUUAGAGCAGAGGAAGGCCGCCUGGUGGGCGGUGGAGGGGGCAAGAGUGUGUGUCCCCUGGGAGUCCUGGAGUGGCCCAACGCAGAACUGUUUCCCUUGCCCGGCCGGCUGCUGGCAGCUGCUCAUCAUCAAAGGCUCGGGCUCCUCCAUUAUUCACCAGGGCCCGGGCUCCCACAGCCCCCCCAUCCCCCCGCCAUUCCACACGCACUUGGGCCCGCUCCUCUCCGGGCUCCUCUUGUCCCUGGAGCUUUGCACAUCAAACGCUUCUCUUUCUCUGUGCCUUGUUUCAUUUUUAAAUAUACUCAUCUCCUUCCUCAUCUCCUAGUCCAUCUGCAGGGACAGCUUUUCCUUGCAGUUGCUCAAGCCAGAAACCUUGGGAUCAUCCUAGAGUUCUCUGUCUCUCCCACCCACACCCAUCCACCAAGUCUGGGGGCUCCCACUUCAGAUUCCAGUAUCCACCACAGCUCCUUCCUAGGCCCCAGCGCCACCCCCAGGCCUGGACCCUCAUCCGCUCUGUUCUCCCAGCUUCCGCCCAAGGCCCCGGUAGUCCCCUCUCAGCUCAGUGGCUGCCGGAGUGAGCUGUUCAGACCCGGUUAGAUCACGGCUCCCCUGCAUGGCCCCCUGCUCACUCCUGACUGUGGCUCUCAGCCAAAACCCACCCCGCCGCCACCGGAUGAACUCUGCUCCCAUCUCACUGGCCUCCUGGCCGCUCCUGGUACCUGCUAGCAUGCUCCCACCUCAGGGCCAUCCUGGGGUAUUCUACAUGGAUAUCCGCCAGGCCCACCCACCACUCUCUUCAAAACUGCACCCUGCCUCCCAGCGUCACACACCCCAUCUCCUUAACAUGCUCUCCUUUUUCCUUCACUCGCAGUCAGAGCCUUCUAACAGCUACACAGUUUAUUCAUGUGCUAUGACUGUUGUUCAUCGUCCCCUGCUUAAGCUCAACAGGGGCAAAGAUUUCUGUUUGUCUUAUCCAUCUUUGUAUCUCAAAGCCUAGCCCAGUGCUUGGCACGUUGUAAGCACUCGAUAAAUAUUUGUUGAAUGAGGCAGGGCACAGUGGCUCAUGCCUGUAAUCCCAGCACUUUGGGAGGCCAAGGUAGGUGGAUCACCUGAGGUCAGGAGGUUGAGACCAGCCUGGCCAACACGAUGAAACUCCGUCUCUACUAAAAAUACAAAAAUUAGCUGGGCCUGGUGGUGCAUGCCUAUAAUCCCAGCUACUAGAGAGGCUGAGGCAGGAGAAUAGCUUGAACCCAAGAGGCAGAGGUUGCAGUGAGCGGAGAUCGUGCCAUUGCACUCCAGCCUAGGCGACAGAGCGAGACCUCAUUUCAAAAAAAAAAAAAUUGUUGAAUGAGUAACAUAAAGGUUAUUAGAAAAGUUCUCACUGUACAAGUAACCCACCAUGCUGUAAAAUGUAAGGAAAACAGAAAAGAAAGAAGAAAAUUAAAAUGAUUACAGUCCUAUCACUUAAACACAGCUUCUCAUUAAUAUUUGGGGAUAGUGUCUUCUAGUUCUUUUUAUUAAAAUUUAUAUAACAGGUACCAUGAAUUGCUUGUCUACUGCCUUCCAGACACUAUCCUAGGCCAUUUCCAAAUAGCAUCCUAUGCUUUUUUUACAAUAAGCCAUGUGGUAGGUGUUACACCUAGUUUUCAGAUGAGGAAACAGAGAUCCCUAGAGAGAUGAUGAAAUUUGCUCGAGUUUAUUUAAACAGUUGUCUUAACGAUUGUGUUAGUACUGGAUGUAGCAUUUUUUUGUCCUACCUUUUCCACUUAAUUAUUUGGGGCCGGGCGUGGUGGCUCACAUCUGUAAUCUGAGCACUUUGGGAGGCCAAGGCAGGUGGAUCACUUGAGCCCAGGAGAUGGAGACGAGGCUGGGUGACAUGGCAAAAUCCCAUCUCUACAAAAAAUACAAAAAUUAGCCAGGUGUAGGGGCACACGCCUGUAGUCUGAGCUUACUCGAGAGGCCGAGGCAGGGGGAGGAUCACCUGAGUUCGGGAGGUCAAGGCUGCAGUGAGUCGUGAUCACACCAUUGCACUCCAGCCUGGGCAACAGAGUCAGACCCUGUCUCAAAAAAAAUAAAAAUAAAUAUUGGAUCAUGAUAAUGUCCUAUGUCAUUAAAACUGUUUGCAAACGUAAUUUCUAAUGACUACAUGACACCUUUGCGAAGAGGAUAUACUACCAUUUCCUGAACCCAUCUCUUAUUGUUUAGAAUUGUUGAUAUUCCUAACCCUUUAUUAUCAUAAAUAAAUGAAUAUUCUUAAACACAACGCUUUUCCCACAUUUCUGAUUAUUUCCUUCAUCCAGAUUUCCAGAAAGGAAAGACCCAUGGGAGAAGUUGUACAAACUUCCGAAAACUCUCUGCAUGCCUCUGCCAGCAAUGCGUGUUGUUGACUGCAGUGGACGGGUUCAGAUCGUGUGUGCUGGGGUGACGGGGGAAGCAUCUAAGGUGUUUUUCCGUGGUGCUUUUGUCCUACUCAUGGACUAGAUCAGCUCAUGUUUCUCCGUGCAAAGCCCUCGUUUGUUAUUGAAGCCCCAGCCCUCGGUGUGGCUGCAGCCAAUGCCUCUGGCCUGUUGCAUUAAUAUUGCAGGCAGGGCUCCUGAGGACCUAAAUAUUUGAUCAGAGUGUGUGCCAGGCUGCUAGUGAGCUGUAUUCAGAGCAAAUU
Molecule: long non-coding RNA, 14434 nt
Filed under: Homo sapiens (human)
Lineage: Eukaryota; Metazoa; Chordata; Mammalia; Primates; Hominidae
Description: non-protein coding lnc-LRP8-5:1
Source: RNAcentral